Molecule: ribosomal RNA, 497 nt
Filed under: uncultured bacterium
Lineage: Bacteria
Description: partial 16S ribosomal RNA
Rfam family: Bacterial small subunit ribosomal RNA
Source: RNAcentral
GAUGAACGCUGGCGGCGUGCCUAAUACAUGCAAGUCGAGCGAACAGACGAGGAGCUUGCUCCUCUGACGUUAUCGUCGGACGGGUGAGUAACACGUGGAUAACCUACCUAUAAGACUGGGAUAACUUCGGGAAACCGGAGCUAAUACCGGAUAAUAUAUUGAACCGCAUGGUUCAAUAUUGAAAGACGGUUUUGCUUUCACUUAUAGAUGGAUCCGCGCCGCAUUAGCUAGUUGGUAAGGUAACGGCUUACCAAGGCAACGAUGCGUAGCCGACCUGAGAGGGGGAUCGGCCACACUGGAACUGAGACACGGUCCAGACUCCUACGGGAGGCAGAAGUAGGGAAUCUUCCGAAAUGGGCGAAAGCCUGACGGAGCAACGCCGCGUGAGUGAUGAAGGUCUUCGGAUCGUAAAACUCUGUUAUUAGGGAAGAACAAAUGUGUAAGUAACUAUGCAAGUAUUGACGGUACCUAAUCAGAAAGCCACGGCUAACUACGUG